Mandrillus leucophaeus (drill) is the source of this 1411-nucleotide RNA transcript. It is a transcript of the gene named actin-related protein 2/3 complex subunit 1A pseudogene, with no coding region annotated. The transcript has a single exon. The record is from RefSeq and is a predicted model, not a curated record. NCBI's taxonomy places the organism in Eukaryota, Metazoa, Chordata, Mammalia, Primates, Cercopithecidae.
UGCUCCCUUUUCCAUUUCUCUGCUGACUAUGAACAAACACACUCUCAUAGUUUUAUCAAUUCUUUGGUAACAAUUAGAAAAUACAAGCACUAGUUCGCGUUGACAGCCCAGGAUCUGUGAAUUCUCUGCUCUGAGCCCAUCCGGACUUCCCCAAUCCCAGCUUUCUCUCCUUUGAAAACACUAAGACUAAUGUCACUGCAUUGGUUUUUACUAGAGUCAAUUACCUGUCAUGCCUGGAACAGGGAUCGUACCCAGAUUGCCCUUAGUCAAAAUAAUCACGAACUGCACAUCUAUAAGAAGUACGGGAGCCAGUGGGUGAAAGCUUAUGAACUCAGUGAGCACAAUGGACACAUCACAGGUAUUGACUGGGUUCCCAAGAGCAACCGCAUCGUCACUUACGGGGUAGACCGCGAUGCCUAUGUCUGGAGUCAAAAAGAUGGUGUCUGGAAACCAACCGUGAUGAUCCUGAGAAUUAAUCGUGCAGCUGCUUUUGUGAAGUGGUCCCCCCUAGAGAACAAAUUUGCUGUGGGAAGUGGAGCACGACUCAUUUCUGUUUGUUGAGUCCGAAAUGACUGGUGAGUGAGCAAGCACAUUAAAAAGUCGAUGCGCUCCACAAUCCUCAGCUUGGACUGGCAUCCCAACAAUGUUUUGCUGGCAGCAGGAUCAUGUGACUUCAAAUGCAGAGUGUUUUCUGCCUACAUUAAAGAAGUGGAUGAGAAGCCAGUCAGCAUGCCCUGGGGCAGCAAGAUGCCUUUUGGGCAGCUGAUGUCAGAGUUUGGUGGCAGUGGCACUGGUGGCUGGGUCCACGGGGUAAGCUUCUCUGCCAGUAGGAGCCGCCUGGCCUGGGUCAGCCACGACAGCACUGUGUCUGUUGCUGAUGCCUCAAAAAGUGUGCAGGUCUCAACUCUGAGGACGGAGUUCCUGCUGCUCCUGAGUGUGUCAUUGGUCUCGGACAACAGCAUCGUGGCUACUGGCCAUGCCUGCCGCCCAGUGCUCUUUAACUACGAUGACCAUGGCUGCCCGACCUUCAUCUCCAAGUUAGACAUUCCAAAACAGCAUCCAACGCAACACGUCUGCCAUGGAACGCUUCCGCAACAUGGACAAGAGGGCCACGACUGAGGACGGCAACAUGGCCUUGGAGACUCCGCACCAGGAUAGCAUCACUCAAGUCUCUAUUUAUGAGGUGGACAAGCAAGAUUGUCGCAAAUUUUCCGCUACUGGCAUUGAUGAAGCCAUGACAAUUUGGGAUUUCAAGACCCUUGAGUUUUCCAUCCAGGUCCUCCGGAUGAUGUGAAGCUGAGUGAGCCUUUGCCAUCCAGAAUGACAAACUGUGGUCAACAGCAGCUGUGCCGUGGCACGAUGGCGAGGAAGCCAGACCCAAGGAAACACUGAAAACACAUCACGCCAAUGC